GUCUCUUCGGAGACAUCCGAUAAAAUUGGAACGAUACAGAGAAGAUUAGCAUGGCCCGUGCGCUGGCGAUAUUUGCUUGGACCUGAGUUCGUUGAGCUAUUG
Molecule: small nuclear RNA, 102 nt
Organism: Musa acuminata AAA Group (dessert banana)
Lineage: Eukaryota; Viridiplantae; Streptophyta; Magnoliopsida; Zingiberales; Musaceae
Source: RefSeq, a predicted model, not a curated record